This 74-nucleotide transfer RNA is filed under the name Salmonella phage Arash. It matches the Rfam family "tRNA". From Rfam's summary of the family: Transfer RNA (tRNA) molecules are approximately 80 nucleotides in length. Lineage: Duplodnaviria; Heunggongvirae; Uroviricota; Caudoviricetes. The record is from Rfam by way of RNAcentral.
CUCCGUUUAGCUCAGUUUGGUGGAGCGUCCGGUUUGGGACCGGAAGGACGUUCGUUCGAAUCGAACAACGGAGA